This 393-nucleotide ribosomal RNA is filed under the name uncultured bacterium. RNAcentral's name for it is "partial 16S ribosomal RNA". It matches the Rfam family "Bacterial small subunit ribosomal RNA", at positions 523 to 918 of the family's 1533-position model. The record is from RNAcentral.
AUACGGAGGAUGCGAGCGUUAUCCGGAUUUAUUGGGUUUAAAGGGAGCGUAGGUGGGAUAUUAAGUCAGCUGUGAAAGUUUGGGGCUCAACCUUAACAUUGCAGUUGAUACUGGUUUCCUUGAGUACGGUAUAGGUGGGCGGACUUCGUGGUGUAGCGGUGAAAUGCUUAGAUAUCCCGAAGAACUCCGAUCGCGAAGGCAGCUCACCGGGCCGGAACUGACAAUGAUGCUCGAAAGUGUAGGUAUCAAACAGGAUUAGAUACCCUGGUAGUCCGCACAGUAAACGAUGAAUACUCUCUGUUUGCGAUACACUGUAAGCGGCCAAGCGAAAGCGUUAAGUAUUCCACCUGGGGAGUACGCCGUCAACGGUGAAACUCAAAGUAAAUGACGGGG